Molecule: RNA transcript, 3206 nt
Organism: Pyrus x bretschneideri (Chinese white pear)
Lineage: Eukaryota; Viridiplantae; Streptophyta; Magnoliopsida; Rosales; Rosaceae
Gene name: zinc finger CCCH domain-containing protein 25
Exons: 4
Source: RefSeq, a predicted model, not a curated record
AGCGUAAGAACAAUGUUCUGCAAAAAUUAGGGUAUUGUUCUUCAAAAAUUAGGGAUUAAGUUCACUACCCAGAGAGAGAGAAAGCAGAAAAAUCUUGGUGGAAUCAGAACGAUGAACCCGCUAACCCUAGUGAAACGCAUUCAGAACAUCAAUUCCAGAGAAGCCCAAUUAGGGAUUUCAGAGGAGGCGUCGUGGCACGCCAAGUACAAAGACUCCGCCUACGUCUACGUCGGCGGCAUUCCCUUCGAUCUCACCGAAGGCGAUCUCCUCGCCGUUUUCGCACAAUACGGAGAGAUUGUGGAUGUGAAUCUUGUUCGCGAUAAGGCGACUGGGAAAUCCAAAGGGUUUGCGUUUGUGGCGUACGAGGACCAGAGGAGCACGAUUCUUGCUGUGGAUAAUUUGAACGGAGCUCAAAUUUUGGGGCGGACUAUUAGGGUUGAUCAUGUGACCAAGUACAAGAAGAAGGAGGAGGAAGAUGAAGAGGAGGCCCAGAGGAAGAGGGAGGAGCGGGGCGUUUGCCGGGCUUUCCAGAAAGGCGAAUGUACACGCGGAGAUUCGUGCAAGUUUUCACACAAUGAGCAGAGAGCUGCAAACACAGGUUGGGGUGAAAAAGACCCGAAAUGGGGGCGUGACAGUUAUGAGGGCCCAAAAAGGGGUGAGAAAAGAUCUAGUACCAUUCCGCUAAAUCGUGUUCCAGAGCCCAAAGGUCAAGAAGAGUUCAGAUCAGGUGAUAGAGAAUUGGACUCCAGAAGAAAGGGCAACGGGAGGGACUUCGAAAGUCACCCCAAGCGAGGUGAUGGGAGAGAGCGAAAGAGACUGGGAAGACAGGGGGGUGAUGAUGAAAAGUUUGAGCCUAGAUCAAGAGAUCAUGAUAGGGGGGAAGAAAAUAGAUCAAGAAGAUGGAGUGAAGAUGCUGAAUUGGGGCCCAAUUCAAGAGAAAAUUAUGGCAGGAGAGAAGAACAGAGGUCGAGAAGGUACAAUGACGAUGAAUUUCAGCCAAAGUCAAGAGAAGAUUAUGAUAGAAAGGAAGAUAAAAGACCCAGAGGGAGUGGUGGUGAUCAGGAAUUUGAGCCAAAGCUGAAAUCUGGAGAAGAUCACGUUAGGAGGGGAGACGAUAGAAGGGAAAAUAAGAGACUAAGAAGGCAUAGCGAUGAUGGUGAAAUUGAGCCCAAAUCUAAAGAUGAUCGUGGUAGGAGGGAAAAUGAUAGUAGGGAAGAUAAGGGACUGAGAAGGCAUGCUGGUGAUGCUGAUUUUGAUCCAAAGUCUAGAGACAAUCAUGAUAGGAUGGAUGAAAAGAGAUUAAGAAGGCACAUCGAUUAUGAAAAUCAGCCGAAGUCUAGAGAAGAUUAUGAUAGGAGGGAAGAUCAGAAGUCAAGAAGACGCAAUGACAAUGAAUUUGAUCUGAGGUUGAGAGCAGGCAAGGAUAAGAGGGAAGGAGGGAGACUGAGAAGGGAUGGAGAUGAUGAGAUUCAGCCAAAGUCUAGAGAAGGUCGUCAUAGGAGUGAAAAGGGAGAGUGAGAAGAUGGGUUUGAUGAUAAUCUAGGCCAAGAUCAAAAGUAAGAUUAUUGAAGGAAAGAAAAGAGAAGGGAAGAAUACAAGUACCACAAAGCAAGGACCAGAAUCCUAUAUGGAAAAACAUUGAUGAACUAAUGGGUAACACCCAUCAUAAAAAAGAGAGAUAAUGAUGUAAAUCAAAUAUUGAUGCUGUUUCCAAGUUUCCAACUUUGGCCUCCCUUGUAUGCAGUUAGAUCCCUGCUGUUAUGCAAUGUGAAACCACUGCAAGAAGAAUUGGCCUGGAUCGAUGGAACAUACGGGUCGGUAUGUUUCAAUACAUUGAAAAUGCUUGCUGGUUAUUGUGCAAUUAAAUUAUACAUGGUUAAAAAUCGCAAAACAGAAAGGCCUGCUCAAGGUGAGCAAAUACAGAAGUCAAUAAAAGAGGCAGUCAACCAAGUGCUGAAGUCCAUAUUUACAGUUACAAGCCAGUUUCUUCUCCAGUCCCAGGUAAGACGAAAACAAAAUGGUAAGGGUUCUUGCUAACAACAAGAAGUAAAGAAAGUAGUGACUUGAUUCAUCAAGAAUUCUGCCUCUCUGUUGGAUUAGUUCCAAUUGAGCCAUGAGUAGUCAUCGGUGUUCCUAGUUCUUUUGGUGGUGCUUCUCCAGAACUCAUUGUGUUCCAAGUUCUCUCGAAAAUCCAUCUUCAGAAGACAGCGGUUUUCUAAGUUCAUUUGGGAGUGCUUCUUCAGUAGGUAGUGCUGCUCGAGAAGACAUUGACUUUCCAAGUUCUUUUGGCAGUGCUUCUUCAGAAGACAUCAAAUUUCCUAGUUCCAUGGGUAGUUCUUUGGGCGGUGCUGCUUCAGUAGACUUUGUUAUUCCAAGUUCAUUAAAAUUCAUCGAUUUUCCAAGAUCUUUGGAUAUUGCUUCUGCAGGAGAUAAAUAUUUUCCUAGCUCUAUGGGUGGUGAUUCUUUAGAAGGUAUUGGUGUUCCAAGUCCUUUGGGCAGUAUUGCUUCUUCAGAAGGCACUGCUUGUGUUGCAGUUAAACUGGGCGCUAGAACAGGACCUCCUUCAUAAGUAGGCAAGGCCUUAUUGUCUUCAUCUUUCGUACUUUCUGAAAUCAUUCCUGUUGAGGUUGUCGGGGUUGUCUUCUUUAUAGAUUCCUCCUUCACGGCGCUAUUACCAUUGUCUACAACGCGCACUUCCUUCUUUAUACCAAGCAACGCUCCAUCUGCAGAUUUGAUAGCCUUCUCUUCAAUUAUGACCUCAAUGUUGCUGUUAAAUGGUGGGUUUCCAUCCGCAGAGGCAGGUUUAUCUGUAAAAUCCACACCCUUCGUAUUCAUCACCAGUUCUUGAUCUUCAGGACGAGUAACAUUCGUGGGAGUAAUCGGUCCCACAUCGAGGUCUACAAGUAGUGCCUCGUUUUCAUUUGUAAUUUGCACUUCGCUUAUCUUCUGAAGUUCAUAAUCCUUCCAGUCUUCAUCGAUUGAUAUAGUGUUCUUGGUUCUCCAGGUGUGCAGAAUCCGAUCUGGACCGGGUUGCCACAGCACAUCUCCUGUGUCCUUUUUCAGUAUAAACUUGUAUUGGAUUGCUAUGCCAGUAGGAACAUUCUAUUCAAAUUUAAAAACCAAUCAAAUUUCAGAAAUCGCGUACAGAUUUAUACGAUUCAGCCUGUAAAUCAACCAUGUCAGGUAAUGAUCAUUUGGUCUAGUGA